CGCCGUCAUCUCUUUAUUUGCUGCCAGCAGAGUCCACCAAGCCUGCUGGGCAGCCCUGCUGCCCACCACGGCGGGGUUCAGGCCCAGCCCACCACCCCGUGGCUGAGUCUCCUCCAGGCCCAGCCGUCCUGAGGGGACCCUGGCAGCGUCUGGAGCCCCCCAGGCCAGAGGUGAGGGAUGAACUGGACUGAGCUCAGGGUUAGGGUUCCCCCAGAUCCUUCUGGGAUUCCUACUUCCUGCUCCCUGCUGAGAGGGGCACCCCAAAUCCUGCAGAAGGCUGGGAUGGAUUAGAGUUGAGAAUGGGGUACCCUCAAAACCUAGGGGGUCCUUGCAAGCCCCUGGUGGGCAUCCCUGCUGCCCUCCCCCAACCCCACUCCCGGGAGCUGGGUGAGGAGGGAGGGUGGGGGUCCAGAGAAGAGUGAGGGGCAGUGGCGGCUUCUCCCCAAGGCCCCAGGGGGCCUUCUGGGGUGCCGUGCGGGGAGGCGCCGGGGACCCCCACACGCGCCGGGCACCCCGCACCCCGCGCCCCGCUCUGUUACGGCCGCGCCCUCACCCGCGUCAGCCGCAUCCGC
This 572-nucleotide non-coding RNA is filed under the name Pongo abelii (Sumatran orangutan). The record is from RNAcentral. Lineage: Eukaryota; Metazoa; Chordata; Mammalia; Primates; Hominidae.